RNAcentral lists this ribosomal RNA (535 nucleotides) under Myoxocephalus brandtii. Its description in RNAcentral is "partial 16S ribosomal RNA". It matches the Rfam family "Bacterial large subunit ribosomal RNA", at positions 157 to 1040 of the family's 2925-position model. Lineage: Eukaryota; Metazoa; Chordata; Actinopteri; Perciformes; Cottidae. The record is from RNAcentral.
GCCCAACAGCUAGCCCACCUAAACAAUUUCAACAAACCCUUGUUAAUAACCCCAAAUACCCUAGUAUUUAAAUUAAACAAACCAUUUUUCCCCCUUAGUAUAGGCGAUAGAAAAGGGACUACGGCGCAAUAGAGAAAGUACCGCAAGGGAACGCUGAAAGAGAAAUGAAAUAACCCAGUAAAGCCCAAAAAAGCAGAGAUUUAACCUCGUACCUUUUGCAUCAUGAUUUAGCGAGUGUACCCCAAGCAAAGAGCACUUUAGUUUGACGUCCCGAAACUACGUGAGCUACUCCAAGACAGCCUAUUAAUAGGGCGCACCCGUCUCUGUUGCAAAAGAGUGGGGAGAGCUUUGAGUAGAGGUGAUAAACCUACCGAACCUAGUUAUAGCUGGUUGUCCAAGAAAUGAAUAGAAGUUCAGCCUCUUGGCUUCUCUUUUCACCCUAGUUUAACCCCUAUUGAUGCAUUAAAGAAACCGAGAGAGUUAGUCAAAGGGGGUACAGCCCCUUUGAAUCAAGACACAACUUUAUCAGGAGGGU